GUGAUCUAUCCAUGAGCAGGUUGAAAGUGACGUAACAGUUACCGGAGGACCGAACCCACUGUCUUUGAAAAGCCAGGGGAUGACUUGUGGAUAGGGGUGAAAGGCUAAUCAAACUCGGUGAUAGCUGGUUCUCCCCGAAAGCUAUUUAGGUAGCGCCUCGGACGAACACCAUUGGGGGUAGAGCACUGUUUCGGCUAGGGGGUCAUCCCGACUUACCAAACCGAUGCAAACUCCGAAUACCGAUGAGUGAUAUCCGGGAGACAGACGGCGGGUGCUAAGGUCCGUCGUCAAAAGGGAAACAGCCCUGACCUACAGCUAAGGUCCCCAAGUCAUCACUAAGUGGGAAAGCAUGUGGAACUUCCAAAACAACCAGGAGGUUGGCUUAGAAGCAGCCACCCUUUAAAGAAAGCGUAAUAGCUCACUAGUCGAGUCGGCCUGCGCGGAAGAUGUAACGGGGCUCAAACCAUGCACCGAAGCUACGGGUAUCAUCUUAUGAUGAUGCGGUAGAGGAGCGUUCUGUAAGCCUGUGAAGGUGAGUUGAGAAGCUUGCUGGAGGUAUCAGAAGUGCGAAUGCUGACGUGAGUAACGACAAAACGGGUGAAAAACCCGUUCGCUGAAAGACCAAGGGUUCCAGUCCAACGUUAAUCGGGGCUGGGUGAGUCGACCCCUAAGGCGAGGCCGAAAGGCGUAGUCGAUGGGAAUGCAGUGAAUAUUCUGCAGCCAGUGGAUGGUGACGAAUCCAGUAUGUUGUCCGACCUUAAUGGAUUGGUCGGGCCUCGAAUGGGUUCCAGGAAAUAGCCUCCACAUUAGACCGUACCCGAAACCGACACAGGUGGUCAGGUAGAGUAUACCAAGGCGCUUGAGAGAACUAUGCUGAAGGAACUCGGCAAAUUGCACGCGUAACUUCGGAAGAAGCGUGACCCUUUCCUGCGCAAGCAGGGUGAGGGUGGCACAGACCAGGGGGUAGCGACUGUUUAUCAAAAACACAGGGCUCUGCGAAGCCGCAAGGCGACGUAUAGGGUCUGACGCCUGCCCGGUGCUGGAAGGUUAAGAGGAGGGGUGCAAGCUCUGAAUCGAAGCCCCAGUAAACGGCGGCCGUAACUAUAACGGUCCUAAGGUAGCGAAAUUCCUUGUCGGGUAAGUUCCGACCUGCACGAAUGGCGUAACGACUUCCCCGCUGUCUCCAGCAUAGACUCAGUGAAAUUGAAUUCCCCGUGAAGAUGCGGGGUUCCCGCGGUUAGACGGAAAGACCCCGUGCACCUUUACUGCAGCUUCAGAGUGGCAUUAGGAAAGAACUGUGUAGCAUAGGUGGGAGGCUUUGAAGCGUUGGCGCCAGCUGACGUGGAGCCAUAGGUGAAAUACCACCCUGUUGUUUUCUGAUGUCUAACCUCGAUCCAUGAAACUGGAUCAGGGACCCUCUGUGGCGGGUAGUUUGACUGGGGCGGUCGCCUCCCAAAGAGUAACGGAGGCGUGCGAAGGUA
RNAcentral lists this ribosomal RNA (1481 nucleotides) under Pardosa pseudoannulata. RNAcentral's name for it is "bacterial LSU rRNA". It matches the Rfam family "Bacterial large subunit ribosomal RNA", at positions 725 to 2318 of the family's 2925-position model. Lineage: Eukaryota; Metazoa; Arthropoda; Arachnida; Araneae; Lycosidae. The record is from RNAcentral.